This is a long non-coding RNA of Dermacentor andersoni, 1845 nucleotides long. RefSeq lists it as uncharacterized. The record is from RefSeq and is a predicted model, not a curated record. Lineage: Eukaryota; Metazoa; Arthropoda; Arachnida; Ixodida; Ixodidae.
GGGCACGCACCCCUCUUUCAUUCGGUCCGAUAGCAUGGGGUCCUUUGUGCAGGUCCGGCCACGAGGAUUGAUAACGUGACGACUGGGACAAAGGGAUCCUGCUUGCGGCCUCAGCGGGAAACCCCGCGCGAAGGCUCUCGGAAACGCCUGUCGCGGGCGUCGGUUAUCUCGGUUUCAGCCGACCGUAAAGUACGCUACGCGAGGACAUUCUGCCGACACGCCGCGAAAAGAACUGGUCGCCCCUCGGCAGUCGCCCGUGUGCUGGGAUUCUUACCAGAAAAAACAACCCCAUGGACUCGACGCAGGUCGACAGCGGGGAGGGCGCGCUGGAAGAGCGUCCCCGCAGCGCUGUACUUCUGGGCUGUUCUGCGGCGUCGAUGGUGACCACCGCAGCCGGCCUGUUCGCCGGCAUCUUCCUGCACCCGGCGCUGGUGCUGCUGCUCGUUUUUGGAAACGUCACCAGCGUGGCACUGGCGAUGCGCUUUGGCUACCGGACUCGCGAACCGUCUCCGAACGAGACCAAGGCCACCGUCGGCAGGCCGGUCGUACCUGUCAUCCAAAUCCACCCGCCCAAGAUGGUCACCGAACUCUAGCGCAGCCGCCGGACCGCGGAACGCCGAUGAACGUUGUGUUUGGGCCUAACAUUCGGACUGCGCUGAGAACACGUGUAGGCAGUGUGCCCACUUUUCGAUAACGUGACCAGUGUGAGCAACUUCGCCGCGCGAAGUUGCCUGCACUGCAAACACGCGUAUACACGCUAGCGACAGCACACGUGUCGUCACUUGGAUUUUAUUUGUGCUGAAGAACACUUUGCAAAACAGUGCGCGAUAGUAUAAAUGUUGCGUCGGUGCGCUGGCGCUAGUCGUUCGCGAAGUCGGUUUGCUGUAACCCAGAAGAAUCAGGGAAGAAGGCACUAUGCUACAGUGAUCCUACAUUAAUAAUGCCAUCGCACAAGAGGGCUUUCUGAGAGCAGUUUAUUCCUCAUCCUCUUGCACACGAAAAAAAAAAAAAAGAAAAGGAAGAAAUAGCUGCUCGAAUUCUGUGCGUGCGGCAUGCGCUACAUUAAUGUUUUAAUUCUUUGCGUGUUUAGUUGAAAUAGGGGUCAGUUUGUGCAUACCGCUGCCGCCGAAAAAAGAAAGGAAAAAACAAUGAUGCUGGAUCAGUCUUUCAGUGUGACAAAUUACGUUUCAUGCUUUUUUUUGUCUUUUUAAUGCGCACCCAUGCUUGUGUUUUGGCGUGCAAUAUUCGACCGAUUAUCCAGAAAAGGAAAUAUAAGAAUUAAACUAGAAAUGCACAUAUAUACAAGGGUUGAUCCAGAAAUAAGGUUCCCAUAAAUUUUAGAAAUAGACAACAUUGUUUAUUCUUAUAGCAAUUUACAUCAUUGCAAAGAUGAAACUUUGCUAUAUUUUUCUACAUAAUCUCCAUCGUUUUCUAGGCAAUUUUGUACACGGUGCUUCAAUUUCUGCAUCCCAAUGUCGUAGAACUCCGCCGCCAAAGCGUUGAGGAAGCGUUUCACCUCUUCUUUGACUUCAUCAUCGCUCCAGAAGCGAUGGCCACUCAAAUGUUCCUUUAACUUGGGGAUCAAGUGAUAAUCACUAGGCGCGAGGUCUCGACUAUACGGUGGGUGGGGCAUGACAGUCCACCCAAAGUUUGUCAAAGGUUCCUGGGUUUCACGGGAGACGUGAGGUCGGGCGUUGUCGGGAAGCCGCGUUACACCGGCUGCCAGUCGUCCUCGCCAGCGGGUUUUGGAUAGCUCGCCUGAGUUUUGCUUACACAAUAACUGUCUGAGCUGACUCUUGUCCCACGUUUGAUGAAAUCGACGAGCAGUAUCCCCGUACGAUCCCC